GAGGGUACAGCUCAGUGGCAGAGCAUGUGCUUAGCAUGCAGGAGGUCCUGGGUUCAGUCCCCAGUACUGCCA
Molecule: transfer RNA, 72 nt
Filed under: Camelus bactrianus (Bactrian camel)
Lineage: Eukaryota; Metazoa; Chordata; Mammalia; Artiodactyla; Camelidae
Also listed under: 1 other name
Rfam family: tRNA
About the family: Transfer RNA (tRNA) molecules are approximately 80 nucleotides in length. Their secondary structure includes four short double-helical elements and three loops (D, anti-codon, and T loops).
Source: Rfam by way of RNAcentral